UUACCUGUUAGAUUGAAACAUGAAACAUGGUGGACAAUGUACUGGUUUAACUUGUUAAAAUAAAGUUAAAGACAUUUAACAAACAGAAGAGUUCAUUAGUUUUUCCAUUAAAAACACUUUCUUAAAAUACUUAUGUAUUUAUAUCAUUUGGAAAGUGACAUGAAAUAUUGCUAAAGAGUGAUGCAUACAGUGUUUGAGCAGUCUGUCUAGGAAUAGAACAACAACUGAAGUUGAUGGAAGAUACUGCAGAGUUUGGCAGGGAAAUAAUCCAACAGCAAAGCGGCUCUUUAAGCGCAUUUACCUAGAGGACUUACAGGGCUACAAAUUCAUGAGCACAUGUGAGCAGUAUACAAUGUACCUCAUACCAAAAAGGACCCGGAGGCAGUGACUGGUGUUCAAUAUUCUCAGAAGAAAAGGAAAAUGGCAGUGGAAGACUUGGACAAACAUUUUUAGCCUCUGUGUUAAGCCUGGCAGUCUGUGGCUGGUGACAUGUUUUAUUUUGGUUACUUCUUGUAAAAAAAAGACCAGUUAUUUAUUUUGUGAAUUGUAUUUUGUGUUUGUUUUUUGUCUUAAUUUAUUUGUUGUUUUUUUUAAUUUAGGAAUUUGAAACUUGGAUAAUUGAAUUAAGUCCGUGUUCAACAGUACUGAGCAUAGUAUAAUAAAUAACAAAUUUACAACAGUUGUUAAUUUGUUAUGUAUUAUUAUUAACUAUGCUCAGUACUUGAAUACUGGCUGUCUGCAUGGGAAUUUGUUUUCUAGAAAGUUGGUUUCAGACUUAAAUAUUUGAAGUUAACCUUCGGAACUUUUCUAGAAUUGUACUGGAACACAUCAACUAGAACUGAACUUCUGUUAUCUUACUGAAAGUGUUCUAGAAUUAUUAAGGAACAGUUGUUGAACGUUAAAAUUUAUGAGAAAAAACUCUAGAACAAUUGUGUGUGAUGUGUGUGUGCAUGUAAUUGUGUGUGUUUAUGAACAUAUGUGAGAAAGGAAGUAUACUUGUCAUAAGAGAAAUGUAAAAUUCUACUUCUAUGUUUUAUAUUGUGCCUUUUAUAAGUUUUUCUGUUCUCACCUGUAUAUGCGUGCAUGUUUAUGGAUGUGUUUUUGAAUGUGUGCAUGCAUGCCUGUGGUUAAGAGAGUUGGUACUUUAUGAAAAUGUAAAACCACUCAUUUUUGAAUAUGUACUGUGACUGCAUGUGUGUGGUAAAUGAUUGAUGCCAGAUCUUGUUCUUGCUUAACUUCUAUGAUGAAACCUUUAGUUACAUUCACAUUUGUUUUUCAAAAUCAAUAAAAUGCCUUUGAUCUAUAAUCUGUUUUUAUUUCUAUUUUA
Dreissena polymorpha is the source of this 1327-nucleotide long non-coding RNA. RefSeq lists it as uncharacterized. The transcript is spliced from 3 exons. NCBI's taxonomy places the organism in Eukaryota, Metazoa, Mollusca, Bivalvia, Myida, Dreissenidae. The record is from RefSeq and is a predicted model, not a curated record.